UACGUAGGGUGCAAGCGUUAAUCGGAAUUACUGGGCGUAAAGCGGGCGCAGGCGGUGAGGUAAGACAGUUGUGAAAUCCCCGGGCUCAACCUGGGAACUGCAUCUGUGACUGCAUUGCUGGAGUGCGGCAGAGGGGGAUGGAAUUCCGCGUGUAGCAGUGAAAUGCGUAGAUAUGCGGAGGAACACCGCUGGCGAAGGCAAUCCCCUGGGCCUGCACUGACGCUCAUGCACGAAAGCGUGGGGAGCAAACAGG
This 253-nucleotide ribosomal RNA is filed under the name uncultured bacterium. Its description in RNAcentral is "partial 16S ribosomal RNA". It matches the Rfam family "Bacterial small subunit ribosomal RNA", at positions 524 to 776 of the family's 1533-position model. The record is from RNAcentral.